GGGGGUGUAGCUCAGUUGGGAGAGCGUACGGUUCGCAUCCGUAAGGUCAGGGGUUCGAAUCCCCUCAUCUCCACCA
RNAcentral lists this transfer RNA (76 nucleotides) under Oscillospiraceae bacterium. RNAcentral's name for it is "tRNA-Ala". It matches the Rfam family "tRNA". From Rfam's summary of the family: Transfer RNA (tRNA) molecules are approximately 80 nucleotides in length. Their secondary structure includes four short double-helical elements and three loops (D, anti-codon, and T loops). Lineage: Bacteria; Bacillati; Bacillota; Clostridia; Eubacteriales; Oscillospiraceae. The record is from RNAcentral.